CCUACGGGAGGCAGCAGUAGGGAAUCUUCCACAAUGGGCGAAAGCCUGAUGGAGCAACGCCGCGUGGGUGAAGAAGGUCUUCGGAUCGUAAAACCCUGUUGUUAGAGAAGAAAGUGCGUGAGAGUAACUGUUCACGUUUCGACGGUAUCUAACCAGAAAGCCACGGCUAACUACGUGCCAGCAGCCGCGGUAAUACGUAGGUGGCAAGCGUUAUCCGGAUUUAUUGGGCGUAAAGGGAACGCAGGCGGUCUUUUAAGUCUGAUGGGAAAGCCUUCGGCUUAACCGGAGUAGUGCAUUGGAAACGGGGAGACUUGAGUGCAGAAGAGGAGAGUGGAACUCCAUGGGUAGCGGUGAAAUGCGUAGAUAUAUGGAAGAACACCAGUGGCGAAAGCGGCUCUCUGGUCUGUAACUGACGCUGAGGUUCGAAAGCGUGGGUAGCAAACAGGAUUAGAUACCCUAGUAGUC
RNAcentral lists this ribosomal RNA (465 nucleotides) under uncultured bacterium. RNAcentral's name for it is "partial 16S ribosomal RNA". It matches the Rfam family "Bacterial small subunit ribosomal RNA", at positions 338 to 795 of the family's 1533-position model. The record is from RNAcentral.